Small nuclear RNA from Suncus etruscus (white-toothed pygmy shrew), 143 nucleotides. RefSeq annotates it as U4 spliceosomal RNA. NCBI's taxonomy places the organism in Eukaryota, Metazoa, Chordata, Mammalia, Eulipotyphla, Soricidae. The record is from RefSeq and is a predicted model, not a curated record. The transcript has a single exon.
AGCUUUGUGCAGUGUCAGUAUCAUAGCCAAUGAGGUUUAUCUGAGGCAUGAUUUUUGCUAAUUAAAAAACAAAAGAUUGCUUUGGUUUAAGUCUUGAUUCUCUGGAGAUGGAGAAAUAAACAUAGUUGGAAAGGUACUAACCU